CCUGAUGCAGCGACGCCGCGUGAGGGAUGACGGCCUUCGGGUUGUAAACCUCUUUCAGUAGGGAAGAAGCGAAAGUGACGGUACCUGCAGAAGAAGCGCCGGCUAACUACGUGCCAGCAGCCGCGGUAAUACGUAGGGCGCAAGCGUUAUCCGGAAUUAUUGGGCGUAAAGAGCUCGUAGGCGGUUUGUCGCGUCUGCCGUGAAAGUCCGGGGCUCAACUCCGGAUCUGCGGUGGGUACGGGCAGACUAGAGUGAUGUAGGGGAGACUGGAAUUCCUGGUGUAGCGGUGAAAUGCGCAGAUAUCAGGAGGAACACCGAUGGCGAAGGCAGGUCUCUGGGCAUUAACUGACGCUGAGGAGCGAAAGCAUGGGGAGCGAACAGGAUUAGAUACCCUGGUAGUCCAUGCCGUAAACGUUGGGCACUAGGUGUGGGGGACAUUCCACGUUUUCCGCGCCGUAGCUAACGCAUUAAGUGCCCCGCCUGGGGAGUACGGCCGCAAGGCUAAAACUCAAAGGAAUUGACGGGGGCCCGCACAAGCGGCGGAGCAUGCGGAUUAAUUCGAUGCAACGCGAAGAACCUUACCAAGGCUUGACAUGGGCCGGACCGGGCUGGAAACAGUCCUUCCCCUU
This 629-nucleotide ribosomal RNA is filed under the name Arthrobacter sp. Se3Ps_2512. RNAcentral's name for it is "bacterial SSU rRNA". It matches the Rfam family "Bacterial small subunit ribosomal RNA", at positions 382 to 1020 of the family's 1533-position model. Lineage: Bacteria; Bacillati; Actinomycetota; Actinomycetes; Micrococcales; Micrococcaceae. The record is from RNAcentral.